Molecule: ribosomal RNA, 253 nt
Filed under: uncultured bacterium
Lineage: Bacteria
Description: partial 16S ribosomal RNA
Rfam family: Bacterial small subunit ribosomal RNA
Source: RNAcentral
UACAGAGGGUGCGAGCGUUGUUCGGAAUUAUUGGGCGUAAAGGGCGCGUAGGCGGCGCGGUAAGUCACCUGUGAAAUCUCCUGGCUCAACUGGGAGCUUGCAGGCGAAACUGCCGUGCUGGAGUGUGGGAGAGGUGCGUGGAAUUCCUGGUGUAGCGGUGAAAUGCGUAGAUAUCAGGAGGAACACCUGUGGCGAAAGCGGCGCACUGGACCGCAACUGACGCUGAGGCGCGAAAGCUAGGGGAGCAAACAGG